GACGAACGCUGGCGGCGUGCUUAACACAUGCAAGUCGAACGAAGAGAGAUGGAAGCUUGCUUCUAUGGAUCUUAGUGGCGAACGGGUGAGUAACGCGUAAUCAACCUGCCCUUCAGAGGGGGACAACAGUUGGAAACGACUGCUAAUACCGCAUACGAUCCAAUCUCGGCAUCGAGAGUGGAUGAAAGGUGGCCUCUAUUAAUAAGCUAUCACUGAAGGAGGGGAUUGCGUCUGAUUAGCUAGUUGGAGGGGUAACGGCCCACCAAGGCGAUGAUCAGUAGCCGGUCUGAGAGGAUGAACGGCCACAUUGGGACUGAGACACGGCCCAGACUCCUACGGGAGGCAGCAGUGGGGAAUCUUCCGCAAUGGACGAAAGUCUGACGGAGCAACGCCGCGUGAGUGAUGACGGCCUUCGGGUUGUAAAGCUCUGUUAAUCGGGACGAAUGGUUCUUGUGCGAAUAGUGCGAGGA
RNAcentral lists this ribosomal RNA (470 nucleotides) under Veillonella atypica. RNAcentral describes it as "bacterial SSU rRNA". It matches the Rfam family "Bacterial small subunit ribosomal RNA", at positions 28 to 475 of the family's 1533-position model. Lineage: Bacteria; Bacillati; Bacillota; Negativicutes; Veillonellales; Veillonellaceae. The record is from RNAcentral.